Molecule: ribosomal RNA, 426 nt
Filed under: uncultured bacterium
Lineage: Bacteria
Description: bacterial SSU rRNA
Rfam family: Bacterial small subunit ribosomal RNA
Source: RNAcentral
GUGAGGAAUUUUCCGCAAUGGGCGAAAGCCUGACGGAGCAAUGCCGCGUGAAGGAUGAAGGCCUAUGGGUUGUAAACUUCUUUUCUCAGAAAAGAAUUAUGACGGUAUCUGAGGAAUAAGCAUCGGCUAACUCUGUGCCAGCAGCCGCGGUAAGACAGAGGAUGCAAGCGUUAUCCGGAAUGAUUGGGCGUAAAGCGUCUGUAGGUUGUUUAAAAAGUAUUCUGUCAAAGAUUAGGGCUUAACUCUAGAUAGGCAGAAUAAACUUUUAAGCUAGAGUUUGAUAGAUGCAGAGGGAAUUCCCGGUGGAGCGGUGAAAUGCGUAGAUAUCGGGAGGAACACCAAAGGCGAAGGCACUCUGCUGGGCCAAUACUAACACUGAGAGACGAAAGCGAGGGGAGCAAAUGGGAUUAGAUACCCCUGUAGUCC